AGUAACGUCAGCUAAAAAAGCUUUUGGGCUCAUUACCCAACUAUGUAGGUUUAAAUCCUUCCGUACUA
This 68-nucleotide transfer RNA is filed under the name Scomberoides lysan (doublespotted queenfish). Its description in RNAcentral is "tRNA-Met". It matches the Rfam family "tRNA". Rfam says of the family: Transfer RNA (tRNA) molecules are approximately 80 nucleotides in length. Their secondary structure includes four short double-helical elements and three loops (D, anti-codon, and T loops). The record is from RNAcentral. Lineage: Eukaryota; Metazoa; Chordata; Actinopteri; Carangiformes; Carangidae.